This 496-nucleotide ribosomal RNA is filed under the name uncultured bacterium. Its description in RNAcentral is "partial 16S ribosomal RNA". It matches the Rfam family "Bacterial small subunit ribosomal RNA", at positions 28 to 506 of the family's 1533-position model. The record is from RNAcentral.
GAUGAACGCUGGCGGCGUGCCUAAUACAUGCAAGUCGAGCGAACAGACGAGGAGCUUGCUCCUUUGACGUUAGCGGCGGACGGGUGAGUAACACGUGGAUAACCUACCUAUAAGACUGGGAUAACUUCGGGAAACCGGAGCUAAUACCGGAUAAUAUAUUGAACCGCAUGGUUCAAUAGUGAAAGACGGUUUUGCUGUCACUUAUAGAUGGAUCCGCGCCGCAUUAGCUAGUUGGUAAGGUAACGGCUUACCAAGGCGACGAUGCGUAGCCGACCUGAGAGGGUGAUCGGCCACACUGGAACUGAGACACGGUCCAGACUCCUACGGGAGGCAGCAGUAGGGAAUCUUCCGCAAUGGGCGAAAGCCUGACGGAGCAACGCCGCGUGAGUGAUGAAGGUCUUCGGAUCGUAAAACUCUGUUAUUAGGGAAGAACAAAUGUGUAAGUAACUAUGCACGUCUUGACGGUACCUAAUCAGAAAGCCACGGCUAACUACGU